This 614-nucleotide ribosomal RNA is filed under the name Leptodactylus discodactylus (Vanzolini's Amazon frog). Its description in RNAcentral is "partial large subunit ribosomal RNA". It matches the Rfam family "Bacterial large subunit ribosomal RNA", at positions 1796 to 2620 of the family's 2925-position model. The record is from RNAcentral. Lineage: Eukaryota; Metazoa; Chordata; Amphibia; Anura; Leptodactylidae.
UCGCCUGUUUUAACAAAAACAUCGCCUCUUGACAAACCCAUAAGAGGUCCAGCCUGCCCAGUGACUCUGUUAAACGGCCGCGGUAUCCUAACCGUGCGAAGGUAGCGUAAUCACUUGUUCUUUAAUUGAGGACUAGUAUGAACGGCACCACGAAGGUUAUACUGUCUCCUCUCUCUAAUCAGUGAAACUAAUUUCCCCGUGAAGAAGCAGGGAUAAAUUUAUAAGACGAGAAGACCCUAUGGAGCUUUAAACAUAACAACAACUGCCCCGCUCCAAUUUAUAUUUCCCGAAAAAUUAUUUACCCGAGCAUUCUGAUUGUGCGUUUUAGGUUGGGGUGAUCGCGGAGCAAAAAAUAACCUCCACACUGGAAGGGACCUUCCCUAAGCCCCGGGCCACAACCCCAAGAAUCAACAAAUUGACACCCGUUGACCCAAUAUUUUGACCAAUGAACCAAGUUACCCUAGGGAUAACAGCGCAAUCCACUUUAAGAGCUCCUAUCGACAAGUGGGUUUACGACCUCGAUGUUGGAUCAGGGUUUCCUAGUGGUGUAGCCGCUGCUGAAGGCUCGUUUGUUCAACGAUUAAAACCCUACGUGAUCUGAGUUUCAGACCGGA